CUGGCCUAGACCCUGGGGAACCAACCUGAAUCCUACAAACGUUGCCUCGGCCCCCAGGAAGCUUGCAAACAGAUACCGAGGAAACAGGGAGAGACUGCAGAGAUGGCAGGAGCCAGAAGAGCCCAUAGGAGGAAGGCCAUCUUGAUGGAGAUGGAGAGGAAGGCAAGCACUCCAGAUGCUAGGAACGGCUUGUGCUGCAGAUCCUCGUGGCUGCAGUGCAGAAAAUGGAUGGAGUCGGGGCAAGACUAGAAGCAGGGACCCCUGAGAGAGGAGCUGGUGGGGCCCCUCCUGAGGUAGAGGCAGUGGACCAACGAAGAUGUUGUCCAGGAGGCAGAGUCCACACGACUUGGUGAUUGAUCAUGGGCCUUUCCCAAAGGAUUCCAGGGCACCAGCUCAGGUCUACUUUCCAGAGAUUGUAAUGAGGAGCAAGCUUCACAAUGAGAAAAUCUUUGGGGACCAACUCUUCCUUUACCCAAAGCCAGCAACAGCGCAAGGCGGGAGGCAGGAUGCAGCUCCCACUCCCUGCACUUGGAAGAAGAAAAGGGCUAAACAUCAUAUUGAAAAUGGCCCAAACAUACAUCCAGUGGACGUGCUAAUUCAAAAAGACACCUGCACCCCAGUGUUCACAGCAGCACUAUUUACAGUAGCCAAGACAUGGAAACAGCCUAAAUGUCCAUCAACAGAUGACUGGAUGAAGAAGAGGUGAUGUAUAUAUACAAUGGAAAAACUACUCAGCCAUAAAAAAGAAUAGAAUAAUGCCAUUUGCAGCAACAUGGAUGGACCUGGAGAUCAUCAUUCUA
This is a long non-coding RNA of Camelus dromedarius (Arabian camel), 800 nucleotides long. RefSeq lists it as uncharacterized. Lineage: Eukaryota; Metazoa; Chordata; Mammalia; Artiodactyla; Camelidae. The transcript has 4 exons. The record is from RefSeq and is a predicted model, not a curated record.